AUCAUUUCAAUUUUAGUAAAGCGACUUUAUUUAUCACUAGAAUAAACAACAAAUAAUAUAUUCGCAACGACUUUAAUGCGAUGAACCGUUCGGAUGAUAUACUCGACAUUACAAUUCGUAGAAACUGAGAAUUGUUUCUGACUCGACCUAAUAUGUAUAAGUAUACGCAUUACGAUUGUAAUUAUACGCGAGUCGUGAGACUGUUCGAACGAUCUAAGAUUAGACAAUGAUCACGCGGACACCGUGUAUAUCGUCGCACAAACGCUUUUGUAACACACGGAGCGAGACUCACCCGAGAACAUUGUGUACUAAAGAGAAAGAAGAGGAUACAUAAAGCGACUGGUAACAGUUUUAAUACCGACAACGAUUAUCCCGCGUGUUUGUCGUGGUUAUAUACACAACGCGCACACACAAACACACAUGUAUCCCUCCUCGAUCUUCAGCUUCCUCUGGUUCCUUCGUUGUGGAUUGCUAAGAAGAGUAGUACUGAUUUCAAAUGGUGCUAGGAAGUCGACAGCAUACCCCAGCACGCACAGAAGUCAGUACCUCUGCCUUCUUAUUCGCUUCGAACCAACAAGAUGUUUCCCCUUCCGGUUCCGUUGGCCUAACCGCAGCAGUCUUGCAAGCCUCCAAGGGAUUUCGCCUAACCGCGGUGGUUGUACACCAGCAAAAAAAUAUUCGGCGCAUAUCUUUCGGUAGCCACGGGUUUUCAUAUUCGUAAAACAGGCAGCUACAAAGAAUAUCGAAUAAUUUUCGAUACUCUACACGUCUACCGUUACUGCGUCCCUUGUUGGUUUAUAUAAUUAGGCUUAAGUUGUAGGGGUUGGCGCACGUGCAAACAAUCUGCAAUACUUUGUAAAACAGCUGUCGAGAUUCUGUGACGCAUUCUUGCAGAUUCCACGCGUAAAUCCCCACGAUUAUGAAUCUCGGAAGGUGACCCGAUCGAAGGUGCCAUCUCCUUGUCUCGCAGAAUUGUUGAGAAUUUGCUGAGAUUCUGGUAGAACCGGAAACAAAGUUGAAUCGAAAGUGUCGGUCUUCUAGGAAGCAACGUUUUUGAAUAUCUUUGACGUACCUGUUCCACCGAGUACCGUAGCAAUUCAAUUCGAUAGACAUGGCUUCGAAGUCUUAUCGUGCACUUUCGUCAAGAGUCUUUCAAUUUCCGGUUGUACCACGUCGGACACCCGGCGCACAUCCGUUGGACAUCACUCGCGACCGGAAACCGCGUUAUCCUCGGCAAUUUGAACAGUUUCUCGUCGAUAACGAAGAAUGCAGGAGGAUUAUUAGGAGACACUUUGGAGGACACGAUGGCCACAGAAGACAGCCGGGCCGGACGCUUUGUGUGUCGUAGGUGGGCCCAGACGGGCGAGCCAGACUGUCCCAGGAGCGCUCGGAUGGCUUCCUAUAUGCAGGCAGCCUGUUCACUUGCCGUAAAGCAAAAUGGUAACUUAAUAUUAGAGUUGAAUAUAAGUACCGGUAAUCCCACACCAGAGUCCAAAGUAAGCCUACACCUACCCGCCGCGACGGCCUACCGGACGGCCAGCCAUCCCUGGACCUCCGUUCCCCCUUACGAACGCCCUCGAGCGUAAUAAUACGACGGGAUACUAGAUAUCGGUGGCUCUCUGUAUUCUAGGUGCAAAUUGCGACCACCUAUGCUUAAGUCUCUUUCUCUCUCUCUCUCUCUCUCUCUCUCUCUCUCUCUCUCUCUCUCUCUCUCCCUCUCCUCUGCUUUACCGUCAUCACCUCGCAGACCGUAUCCGUCAUUCUUCCUGUGCGUCCUGCGUCCUCCAAACCUGAGAACUCAUGGUUUAACAAGGACCUAUCUGUUCAACUGUAAUCUUAACCCCUUGCCCUAUAAUCUCUCUCAUAUAUAUCAAUCGUUCAGACUGAUUAGAACUUCCUUGCAACAAUCUCCUACAAGAAAGAGUUCUGCAUGGCACUGUGGGACAAGGGUUUAACAAGGUUCUGUAACAUUAGUGACCACUACGGCUAUCUACUUUGGUAUAUGGAUCAGUGGAGAUCGGUUUUCUAUAAUAUGUGGACUUUAGCAGGUGGUCCAGCCUCUAGUCCACUUCUUGAAUAAUGAGUUCAAGCAUUCUGCACUGAAUUUUCAAGAGGCGAAGAAAUGGAGAGAGAACACGUCGAUGAUGAACAAUUGCCCCGAAGCAUCGUUCUACUUGGUGCCUUUGGGUAUCGAAGAGUUUUGCAGCAAUAUCGAGAAGCGAGGUAAAACGGGAGCAGAGCGCAAGCGGUGCUCCCCGAGGUGCAACGACCUUCGCGGACCAAGAAGAACUAGGAUAAACCAGUCUAGUCUCUCUGCGUGACGCGACAAGAGACUCUCUUUGGUGGACGGUGGCGAAGUAAGCUAAUCCGUCCGCGUGUAUCAUGUUUUUGAGUCCCUUUAAACGAUACUGAUACCUCUGUUGCCCUCGCGAGAAACGACGUUUCGCGGACGCGACGCACGCACCGGUGUCGAUUUCGACGUUAGUCUCGCGACAGAUGUUCCCAGAGGCUGCUGCCGCCGCCUGGGCUACUCCUUCUUACAAAGUCGUCAGAAAUCGGUAUCAUUCUCCGAGCCCCGGAAUACAUUGUAUUUCCCCGGUGAAAUUGGCUUCCCGAUGGGAAACGCAGCUGGAAAUAGAGCAGCCGACCUAGACAGAUGCUGUUUCCCCGGGCCAGACGCAGGUGUUUCCACCAAUGACCUCGCAUUUCCAUCGGUCAUCAUCUACAACCGUUGUGCCCUUCCCGGACGGUUUCCCUUAUUAGUGUGAACUCCGAACUAGAAAGAAAAUUAGUAAAAGGGUGACAGUGAAUCGUGGAAACUUGUGGAAUUUUGCUGCUUUCACUAAGGACCAGCGCGGUCUGCGUAUGGGAGAGAUCACGAAGAGACCUGGAAGAGGAAUAACCAUCCUCCCGUAGAAGCAACGAUCUCUUUUUCUUGCUACGUAGAUCGGCUCGCCGCGUCACCCAGUAUCGAAUCGAUCGGCAACGAUCACGCGGCUCGAUCGCGUCUCUCUCCUAGCUUCUAUCCGCGUCCACGUUUCUUCAUUUUAAGUCCCAGGCGUAUCCUGUUUCAAAGCGAGACCCAGCUGACCGCAACCCGGCAUCGUUUUCUCGUUUCGUCCGCUUGCGUUACGCACCGAUCCGCGCGACCACGUCUACGGAAAAAUCGGUUGAUGUGCUCUCAAUAUGCUUCGAAAAUUCCUGACCUGUGUGCUAGCCAGAAAUGGCGGGUGCCCUGUUAGUAUUCAUAUUUUGCGAUUCAUCAGAUUUUCGAGAAAAGAAUGAAAUUGGUUAAAAAAAAGUCAAUUAGUUCUUUUUUCAACAACACUGGUCUCUGUGUUGAACACUCGGUUCUUUUUUUAUUCCAGUGAAUUAUUAUUUGCGUAAUCAAUUGAUGAAUAAUCGACCUCGUUAAAUAGUCUAACCAUUACUACAGAUCCGGAUUCAAGAGAGAGGGAGGGAGGGAGAGAGAGAGAGAGAGAGAACACGAAUAGACGCGGACCGGUCCGCGUCGCGACGCCUAGUCUCGCGUUCCUAGCAUCGAAAUCCCCGGCGGCCGAACCCCACAAAACUACAGGAUGAUAACCAAUUCCUAUGGGUUCAUCUCGUUGAAGAAAAGAUUAUCCUCGUAGGAAUGUUACCUGUGCGUAACCAUAAGAGCAUUCCCCUGAAACACACAUAGGGAAAGUGCUGCUCGACGAUGCAACAAAGACAAGAACACUGCACCGAUCGUUCAUCAUCAAAUUUAUCAUCAACAUCACCACCAGCAGCAGCAAUAGUAUCAGCAUCAUCACUGGAUCUUCCUCCGAAAAGAGCGGCGCACUCGACGUCGCGACGCGUCGAUUCGGAUCCGCGGCGCGGGCAAAACGCUCGUUCAAAUCCCGGCGACGAACCGUAGGGGUGGGUUUGCCCUCGGCGUGCGUGUUCCACUGACUAUCUCGCGUUAAUGUUUCCGUUUUUAACUCGUGAACUCGUCUCCGUUCUGCGUAUACGAAUUCGAUCGUUCCGAACGUCGCGGCCGGCGAGUAUAGAUUCAAGUCGAAGGACGGCGAGAGAGAAUCGGUCCGCGCCGCGCCGCUCAUCGAAUCGCAUCGCAUCGGUUUCCAACCGCAUGGCACUUCGGACACGACUGAUCGAGUGACCGAGGGGGUAGCAUUGUAAGAAUACCCCUCCAACGUGCGCUUGUAUAGAAUUACGUGUGUGCCCGCUCAUCGCGCGCAUAGAGCAGCACAACUCUCCGUCCCCCUCGGGUUCGCGCAAAAGGGAGAAUCGAGGGGAGAGAAGAGUGGCUCUAACCUUCGCCUCUUCCCCUCUCUUUUUGUCGCCCCGUCUCAUUCCCUCUGUUCACUUUUCUCUCUCCGUCUUCCCCCCGUUUCUCACCGUCUCCCGUCCCCCUUCGUCGCUCCUUUCACCGGGUCUCUACCCACCCCUAGCCUUCGUGUACCCCUACCCUUAGCCCUCUCUCGGUUCCCUGUUCCCCACAACGCGUCGCCUCGCGUCUCUGUAGCGUGCGUGAAUCAUGCAUAUCGAUUUUCUUUCGUUUAGUACGCUGUUCGUUCGUUCGGCUCUCGCUCGUUCAUUCUGCUCGGUAGUUGACGCCCGCCGACGCUGUCCCCCCACAGAAAAGCCCGGGGGCCGGGCAGACGACGAACCCCUUUUUCAAAAUGCGCACGCUUGGUACCCGAACUCACAGAUUGCGUAGCCCGAACUCGGACCCGAGUUUUGCGUUCAAAAGGUUACUGUAACCCGCCAUAAUCACCAGGCGACCCAAGACACUAGUUACACACCAAAUUAGGGAGUUCAGUUUCCUGGUUUCAUAGUUCAUAUAACUCUUCCAGUUGAACGUUUAAAAAAUAUAGCUUCGAAGGA
Molecule: non-coding RNA, 4869 nt
Organism: Megalopta genalis
Lineage: Eukaryota; Metazoa; Arthropoda; Insecta; Hymenoptera; Halictidae
Source: RefSeq, a predicted model, not a curated record